UCACAAUGGACGAAAGUCUGAUGGAGCAACGCCGCGUGAGUGAAGAAGGUUUUCGGAUCGUAAAACUCUGUUGUUGGAGAAGAACGUAUUUGAUAGUAACUGAUCAGGUAGUGACGGUAUCCAACCAGAAAGCCACGGCUAACUACGUGCCAGCAGCCGCGGUAAUACGUAGGUGGCAAGCGUUGUCCGGAUUUAUUGGGCGUAAAGCGAGCGCAGGCGGUUUCUUAAGUCUGAUGUGAAAGCCUUCGGCUCAACCGAAGAAGUGCAUCGGAAACUGGGAAACUUGAGUGCAGAAGAGGACAGUGGAACUCCAUGUGUAGCGGUGAAAUGCGUAGAUAUAUGGAAGAACACCAGUGGCGAAGGCGGCUGUCUGGUCUGUAACUGACGCUGAGGCUCGAAAGCAUGGGUAGCAAACAGGAUUAGAUACCCUGGUAGUCCAUGCCGUAAACGAUGAGUGCUAGGUGUUGGAGGGUUUCCGCCCUUCAGUGCCGCAGCUAACGCAUUAAGCACUCCGCCUGGGGAGUACGACCGCAAGGUUGAAACUCAAAGGAAUUGACGGGCC
This 562-nucleotide ribosomal RNA is filed under the name Lactobacillus sp. Its description in RNAcentral is "bacterial SSU rRNA". It matches the Rfam family "Bacterial small subunit ribosomal RNA", at positions 366 to 919 of the family's 1533-position model. Lineage: Bacteria; Bacillati; Bacillota; Bacilli; Lactobacillales; Lactobacillaceae. The record is from RNAcentral.